Molecule: long non-coding RNA, 5152 nt
Organism: Setaria italica (foxtail millet)
Lineage: Eukaryota; Viridiplantae; Streptophyta; Magnoliopsida; Poales; Poaceae
Exons: 2
Source: RefSeq, a predicted model, not a curated record
AGUGAGAAGAAAAGGGCCAAGAGGAUAGGUGUGUGCGUGAGUCUGCGCCGCCGCCACUAGCUAUAUAUAACAAGAGUUGAGAGGACAGGAGGAUCAUGAAUCAUCUUGUAAACUGAAUCCUGAACCUAAGCAUUCAUCUGCUCUCUGAUCCCAUAUCCGUGCUUCCUACCUCGAAUCCCAAUUCUUCUAUCCUCCCAACUACCUGCUGCUAACAUAGUGGUAUCAGAGACACCGAUCUGGAGCCGCACCAAAUUUCUCACGAGCACUUCACUCGAUUUCGUAAGGGAUUGGGUGCCAUGGGUCCUCAGCUGAAGUAGAUCAUCGAUGAGCUUAAGUGCUUGAAGUCGUCGCUGGAUGAUCUCAAAGAGUUAGUGUCAGAUCGCAUCGAUGGGAUGGAGAAAAGCCUUGGUGACCAUUUUAAGGUCAUGGAGGAUGCGGCGCUGGUCUUCGAUGAUUGAAGCAUCCAUGGAGGAUCUGCGGAUUGAAGUGGGGGCACUUCGCAAAGCUGUGAAUCGAGUGCUUCUCGAUUCGUCGCCCUUACCUUCGGUAGGAAUCUUCACCAAACCUGGGUCGGCUGCGGCGUCUUCUCCUGCCGGCAACCCAGCUGACGGCCCUAGAGGGCACCGCACUGAGAUGGGGAACUGGGAGAAUGUGUUUGGGGCGGUUUUAACCCACACAUAUUCCCCGGACAAGGAUAUGUUUACUGAACUUCCAAAGCAGUUACCUAGAUCUAGUUCGCAACCGCAAUUUGACACUAGGCAUGUGAAUUUUGAUUGCUAGAUUAGUCAUGGUUUUGCUAGUAGUUUAGGUCCUGAUAGAAUUCCUAAGUUAAACUUCCCUGAAUUUGAUGGUGAUAACCCCAGAUUGUGGAUCAGGCAUAGUGAGGAUUAUUUUGAGCUGUGCCAUGUAGAUCCUAAUGCUUGGAUUAAAAUUUCGUCCAUGUAAUUUACCAAAGCUGCUGCUUGUUGGUUGCAAUCAUUAGAGAAAUGAGUCAGGAGUGUGCCCUAGUCUGAAUUUUGCAAAAUGAUCAUUUUGGCAAAGAAUAUCAUGAGCUUUUGAUAAGACAGCUAUUUCACAUUAAGCAAUUGAGUAGUGUGGCAGAGUAUAUAGAGAGAUUUUCUGAGCUGGUUGAUCAAUUAACAACUUAUGAAUCUCGCACUGACCCUCUCUAUUAUACCAUGCAUUUUAUUGAUGGAUUGAAAAGUGAAUUCAAAUCUGCUGUUCUAGUUCAGCGUCCUCCCAUUCUAGAUACUGCUUGUGUCCUUGCCCUUUUGCAGGAAGAGGUAUCUUAUCAUGACAAGAAGAAGGAGAUGCGAAAACAUGAUUAUUUCCACAUGCCAAGACCUCCAAUCAAGCAGUCCUUGCCACUUUCACCACCACCAAAGUUGGAAAAAGUUGAUGACAAGCGUCUAGCGGAACAAUCACGCAGCAGGUCAGUGCAUGAUAGGCUGUCAGCACUACGUGCUUACCGUCAUGCCAAGGGCCUCUAUGUCAAAUGUGCACAAAAAUGGAGCAGGGAUCAUAAAUGUCCAGAUUCUAUUUAGUUGCAUGUUAUCCAGGAAAUAUGGGAUUUAUUCCAACUGCAAGAUGAACAGGGUGAUACUGAGGCAGGAUAUGUGGAUGCUCCAGAACAGCUAUUUCUCUCUCUCUCUCUCUCUCUCUCUCUCUCUCUCUCUCUCUGAGGCUGCUGUGUCGGGGUCUGAAGCUCCAAAGACAAUGCAUUUUAGAGGUCUAGUUCAAGGCAAAGAGGUGAUGAUUAUAAUUGACUCUGGGAGUUCCAAUACUUUUAUCAGUACAACACUGGCAUCAACUUUGCAAGGGGUGUUCCCAAUGCAUAAACCAAUGGGGGUUUAGGUUGCUGAUGGGGGACGAAUGAGUUGUUUAUCUCACCUACCUGAGGCUGAUUGGUCAAUUUAGGGGUGUUCCUUUAAAUCUGACAUGAAGGUUUUUGCCAUUAAGCCAUUAUGAUCUGAUAGUGGGCAUGGACUGGUUAGAGCAAUAUAGCCCUACGAAGGUGCAUUGGAAGCAAAAGUGGAUGGCCAUUCCAUAUUUGGGGCCUAUUUCUAUAUUACAGGGUAUGGUGCAAGAAUUACAUGAAGGCUCUAUUGUUAAGGUUUGUACUGUCUUGAUCUCUGAUAAGGCAACUAUCAAGUUAGAAGUUCCUUCAGAGUUGGCUCAAUUGCUGGAUGAAUUUGGUGAUGUCUUCGAUGCUCCUAGUGGGCUACCUCCUUCUCGACCUUGUGAUCACAGCAUUCCAUUGGUGGAAGGGGCCACUCCAGUGUCAGUAAGAUCAUAUAGAUACCCUCCCGCAAUCAAAUAUGAGAUUGAGAGGUAGAUCAUAGCAAUGCUGCAAGAAGGUAUUAUUCAGCAUAGUACUAGACCUUUUUCAUCACCUGUUUUGCUGGUUAAGAAGGACAAAACUUGGAGAUUUUAUGUUGACUUAGGCAUCUGAAUGCAAUCACAUUAAAGUGAAAAUACCCAGUGCCGCUCAUUGAGUACUUCUUAGAUGAAUUGGGCCAGGCAAGUUGGUUCACCAGCUUAGAUGUCACAGCAGGUUAUCACCGGAUCAAGCUUAAAGAAGGUGAAGCUUAUAAGACAGCUUUCCAGACUCACUCUGGACAUUAUGAAUUUAGAGUAAUAGAGUAAUGGCUUUUGGGUUGUUUGGGUGCCCCGUCUACAUUUUAGAAAGCAAUGAAUACCACAUUAGCUCCACUGCUUAGAAAGUGUGUGCUAUUUUUCUUUGAUGUUUUUUGAUUUAUAGUAACACAUAUGAAGAACAUUUGGAACAUAUCAAGCUGGUCUUACAACUAUUAGCUAAAGAUCAGUGGAAAGUCAAAUUUUCCAAGUGUACCUUUGCUCAAAGAUAAAUAACAUAUCUAGGUCACAUUAUCAGCCAGGAUGGAGUGGCUACAGAUCCUAGCAAAAGCUCAGCUAUUAUGGACUGGCUUGUUCCUGCCAAUGUGAAAGAACUCAGAGGGUUUUUGGGUUUGGCUGGAUAUUACAACAAAUUUGUGAAGCAUUUUGGAGUUAUCUCUAAACCUCUAAUAGAAUUGUUAAAAAAGGGAGUUGUGUACAUUUGGACCUCUGACCAUCAUGUUGCAUUUCAAGCUCGAAAGAAUGCACUGAUUUCAGCACCAGUAUUGGCUUUGCCCAAUUUUUCAAUUCCAUUUUGUAUUGAAACUAAUGCCAGUGAAGUGGGGAUAGGUGAAGUCCUGAUGCAAAAAUGGCACCCUUUGCCUUACAUCAAUAAAGCCUUGAGGCCUAGAUCUCAAGGCCUAUCUACUUAUGAGAAAGAGUACAUGGACAUAUUGGCAACAGUGGAAUAGUGGAGGCACUAUUUGCAAUAUGGUGAGUUUCAUAUCUACACGGACCAAAAAAGUCUAGUUCAGCUAUCUGAACAGCGUCUGCACAUACUAUAGCAGUAGAAGGUUUUCACCAAGCUAUUGGGUCUUCAGUACAAAAUCAUUUAUAAGAAAGGAGUGGAUAAUAGAGCUGCGGAUGCCCUCUCAAGAAGAUCUCAAGCACCAGAGGCUGAAUGUGCAGUGAUUUCUACUAGUACUCCACAAUGGCUAGAGCAGGUGGUAGCAUUUUAUGGCCAAGAUAGUCAUGCUCAGACUGUAAUGGCUAAAUUGGUAGUGGAGGAAACAACAGUGUCUAAUUUCACCUUCAAGGAUGAUCUGCUCCGUUAUAAAAAUAGAAUAUGGAUUGGGAAGGAUGACAUACUUCAGAACAAGCUGAUGAAAGCUUUUCAUUGUUCCGCAGUUGGGGGUCAUUCAGGAGUACCUGUCACAUACAAGAGGAUGAGCAAAUGUUUGCUUGGCAGGGCAUGAAGAAGGCUGUCCAGCAAUUUGUUCAGUCGUGUUUGGUGUGCCAUCAGGCUAAGCCUGACAGGUCUCGGCUUCCCUGGUUGCUACAACCGUUACCAAUGCCCACAAGAUCUUGGCAGGUAAUCACUAUGGACUUCAUUGAAGGCUUACCUAAAUCUAGGCAUGCCAACUGUAUUUUAGUUGUUGACACCUUCUCCAAGUAUGCACAAUUUUUGCCCUUGAUUCAUCCCUUCACGGCUGCUUCAGUAGCUAAACUGUUCCAUAACCAAGUCUACAAGUUACAUGGUAUGCCAACUAUGAUUGUUUCUGAUCGCGAUAAGGUGUUCACAAGUAAAUUGUGGAAGGAGCUGUUUCGCCUUGCUGAUGUUACACUGAACAUGGGCUCAACAUAUCAUCCACAAGCAGACGUGCAAACUGAGCGUGUAAUCAAUGCCUGGAUACAUUCAUACAUUGUUUUGUGCAUGCUUGUCCAUUACUUGGAACCAAUGGUUAGCUCUGGUGGAAUUCUGGUAUAACAACAGUCCUCAUUCUACAACUGAAAAAUCUCUAUUCAUGAUUCUUUAUGGCUAUGAACCUCAUCACUUUGGUAUAUCUGAAGAUGAUGCAGUCACAGUGUCAGAUCUUGCUGAAUGGCUUUAGGAGCAUAAUGUGAUGACUGGUUUAGUCCAUCAACAUUUACUCAGGGCUAAGGAGAGAAUGAAGAAGCAAGCUGAUGCAAAAAGGACUGAGGGGUCUUUUUAGAUUGGUGAUUGGGUAUUCCUGAAAGCUCAACUGUAUGUACAGUCAUCUUUGGCUCCCAGAGCGAACCAGAAAUUAGCUUUCAAGUUCUUUGAACCAUAUCAAGUGGUAGCUCGUGUGGGUUCAGUCGCGUAUAAGUUGCAACUUCCAGAUUCCUCAUUGGUUCACCUGGUAUUUCAUGUUUCACAACUCAAGAAACUUAUGGGUACUCCAAAUGAGGUGACUCCAUUGCUAUCUGACCACACCUUCAGGAGGAUUUGGUGCCUUACAGUAGUAGUUUCCUCGUGCGGCUGUUUGGGGACAACCAGCAAGUCAAGAAGGGGGGGGGGGAUGUCAGCAUCGCUUUCGAGCAAGCUUAUCUAGGCCUCGCAAGUCUUCACGGACCAGGAAGGAUAACCACCGCUUCAGUGGCCUAGAAUGGGAUUAGGUGUAUGCGUGAGUCUGCGCCGCCGUCGCUAGCUAUAUGUAAAAGGAUGGGGAGAUUAUGAAUCAUCUUGUAAACUGAAUCCUAAACCUAAGCAUUCAUCUGCUCUCCAAUCCCAUAUCCAUGCUUCCUACCUUGAAUCCAAAUUCUUCUAUCCUCCCAA